UUACUCUGAGUGAUGCCCGCUAAGGGCAUCUUUUGGUACCUCUAAAAAUGGUGCAGAAUAAGGGGUGGGCAAGUCUGGUGUCAGCCGCCGCGGUAAUACCAGCACCCCGAGUGGUCGGGACGAUUAUUGGGCCUAAAGCAUCCGUAGCUUGUCCUGCAAGUCCUCCGUUAAAUUCACCUGCUCAACAGAUGGGCUGCGGAGGAUGCUACAGGGCUAGGAGGCGGGAGAGGCAAGCGGUACUCAGUGGGUAGGGGUAAAAUCCUCUGAUCCACUGAAGACCACCAGUGGCGAAGGCGGCUUGCCAGGACGCGCUCGACGGUGAGGGAUGAAAGCUGGGGGAGCAAACCGGAUUAGAUACCCGGGUAGUCCCAGCUGUAAACGAUGCAGACUCGGUGAUGGGUUGGCUUCGCGCCAACCCAGUGCCGCAGGGAAGCCGUUAAGUCUGCCGCCUGGGGAGUACGGUCGCAAGACUGAAACUUAAAGGAAUUGGCGGGAGAGCACCACAAGGGGUGAAGCCUGCGGUUCAAUUGGAGUCAACGCCGGGAAUCUUACCGGGGGCGACAGCAGAGUGAAGGUCAAGCUGAAGACUUUACCAGACAAGCUGAGAGGAGGUGCAUGGCCGUCGCCAGCUCGUGCCGUGAGGUGUCCUGUUAAGUCAGGUAACGAGCAAGAUCCCUGCCUCUAGUUGCUACCACCGCUCUCAGGAGCGGAGGGGCUAAUUAGAGGGACCGCCGCCGCUAAGGCGGAGGAAGGAGGGGGCUACGGCAGGUCAGUAUGCCCCGAAACCCUCGGGCCACACGCGGGCUGCAAUGGUAAGGACAACGG
Molecule: ribosomal RNA, 825 nt
Filed under: uncultured archaeon
Lineage: Archaea
Description: bacterial SSU rRNA
Rfam family: Archaeal small subunit ribosomal RNA
Source: RNAcentral